Non-coding RNA from Paramuricea clavata, 1213 nucleotides. The record is from the annotation of a GenBank genome assembly. NCBI's taxonomy places the organism in Eukaryota, Metazoa, Cnidaria, Anthozoa, Malacalcyonacea, Plexauridae.
AGUUUUCAGCUCCAGAUGGGUCACAGAAACAACAGUUAUGUCUUGCAUUUCCAUGGUACAGUUAUGAGCGAGAAAAAUUAUGUGGCAUUAAGCUUCACCAAGUUAAAAUAAAAGACGAGGAGAGCCUUGGCGCACUGGAACCAAGGUACACAAACAUAAUAGAUAAUAUCAUGUAAUUGUUCAAAACAGGGAAAUAAGCUACUGUACAUGUAAUUUGAUAAAAUUACGUUUAGGCAUUGGGAUAUGUGGGACCAAUUUUACAUCCACUUUUACACUCCAAUUUUACAACCACAUUCCACUCCAAUUUUACAUCCACAUUACACUCCAAUUUUACAUCCACAUUUACACUCCAAUUUUACAUCCACAUUCCACUCCAAUUUUACAUCUACAUUACACUCCAAUUUUACAUCCACAUUACACUCCAAUUUUACAUCCACUUUUACACUCCAAUUUUACAACCACAUUACACUCCAAUUUUACAUCCACAUUACGCUCCAACUUUACAUCCACAUUACACUCCAAUUUUACAUCCACAUUCCACUCCAAUUUUACAUCUACAUUCCACUCCAAUUUUACAUCUACAUUACACUCCAAUUUUACAUCCACAUUACACUCCAAUUUUACAUCAUAGUUCGUCAUUAAACAUUCAGUAAAAAUGGACGUGGGUUCGAAAAAUGUGAACCUACAAUCUUUGGUAAAAACUAUAGGACAUACUAUAUACUGUUAGUAAUUUAACAUUUUAUCUCGAAGACCUUGCGGUCCCCGAGCAACAACAAACCUCACUUCCGGUUUUAUUAUUGACCGGUCAAUAAUUGUCUCAUUGCAAAAUUUAUUGACCGGUUGCCCCUCACCAAGGCAUGCAGUGAGCAUGAUGUUUUGUGGAACGGCACAUGAUAUGGUUUUGUCCAAACUGCAAGCUGGAAAUAGAACUUUAACACUUGCUAUAUAAUAUCAAGCGUUCACUCUAACUAAGUUCAUCAUGGGUGCUUACGCAGAUCUUUAAUAAUUAUGUGUUAACAUCAAAACGUCUUUUUUUACUUCUAUAAAAUAGACAUGGUUUACCGAGUUUGUUUGGUUGGCAUACUGUCCCUUCAGAUGCCAAAGAAAUUGUUCUGACAGCCGAUGAAUUUGAUGCGAUGGCUGUAUAUCAAGCUACGUCAUUUCCGGCAAUUUCACUUCCGUUUGGACUGUCAUCUCUACCACCAGAGGUACU